This 3680-nucleotide long non-coding RNA is filed under the name Callithrix jacchus (white-tufted-ear marmoset). Its description in RNAcentral is "lncRNA (ENSCJAG00000070495.1)". The record is from RNAcentral. Lineage: Eukaryota; Metazoa; Chordata; Mammalia; Primates; Cebidae.
AUGCACCCAGCACACAGUAGGUACUCAGCUACCAUGCUAGAGGGUUUGGACUUCAUCCCAGAGGCAGCUGGACCCACUGCUUCCAUGCCCCCCGCCUUCCUGGGCCAGGGCAGCUGCAGGCCUGAUGGGGUGUUUUUAUCUCCAACCCACAGUGGGCUCCGCAGAGCUCGGCAGAGUCCCUGGGCGCACGGACAAAGAGCUGUUGUUCCCUCGGAUCUAAAAUUGCCUCCCUCUGAUUGCCGCUAUACAAACCCAGGCGGCUGCUCGCUUCCCCCAUCCAGUUGGGUCUAUUUCAAGAACACGCUGAUUAGCGCUGAUUGCGCCUUGAUUGUGGCGGGCGCCUUGCCCAGCCCCCUCCCCAGGCUCCGUGUGCGGAGUAGAUGCUCCUGCUCCCCCACCACGGCUCCCGCUGUCACCCAGGGGCCACCAGACCAGGAAACCGGACGCUCACCACCUUGGCUUACGUGAGGAUAUGUGCAUCGAUGUUUGAAACAGAACCUCGGCAGAGCAAGCUGUCGCCAGUGCAAAAUGUUCAUAGUGACAAUCAGGAACGGUAUGUGAACUUACCCACCACAUGUUUAUUGAGCAUCUCUCCCCGUGCAGGGCCCUCCUGUGAACGAUGUGCGAACUUACCCACCAUGUGUUUAUUGAACUUCUCUCUGUGUGCAGGGCCCUAAAUCCAGCAGGGAAGCAGACGCAUGAGCUCCGGGUUCGCCAAUAAGGGGAUGGACGAUCCAUCCAACUCCGUGAUCCAGGACCCUGAGUGGAGAACACCUGGCUUAGUCUAAGCUCUUUGUUCACCAGAAGGGUCUCAGGGAGGGUGCUGGACCCCAAGUCAGCCAGCCAGGGAGGGAGGCCAGGGGCCCCAGCACAUCACUCUGCCUUGCCCACAGCAUCUUCCCACUUGAUAAGCCUCGGCCACUGCCCAAGUGUGCUGAGGGGAGCUGGCCUUGAGCUCUAGGGAGUGGGGUAUUCAGAAGCAAUCAGUGGCACUUGUGGCUUGGCGAGCUUUCUGGCUAUUUGUGACUUAGCAGCUCUCCUGCCACAGCUGCUGGAAAUUGAGCCAUGGAGACCACUUGAUCUGGGGAGCUAUUGCUCAAGAGUUCCUGAGUCCACACUGCCAGAAUGUGAGCGUCUUUUCCCACCAGCCACGGAUGGGUAGCUAAAGGCAGAGGGAGAGAGCCAGGAAGGGCCUGCAGACAGCGGCAGGCCUGAGGGGUUAGAAGGGACACCUGCAGGUCCUGAGAGCCAGGGAGCCCAUUCUCCUGUAAGUACCAGAGACACGCUCUUCCCAAUAACCCUCCCCAGGAAGUGUCCAGAGCCAGCAGCUGGCCACAGGCUACUGAGGUAGAAAUGCCCCAGGCCUUCUCCUGGGGGUGGAGAGCUUAGAAUUUGGAGUCUCAUAGGAAAGGAAGUAGAGCCUCAGGCUCUGGAGCCAGGUUCAUAUUCAACCAUUGCCACUUACUCACUGGGUCUCAGUUUUCUCAUCUGGAAAACUGAAACAAUAAUAAUAGCAUUGACCUUGCAGGGCUGUACGAAGGUUUCAAUGCGUUCAUACAAACAAAGUGACUAGAGCAGGGCUUGGCACACAGCAGAGACUUACUGAGGAGCAACUGCUAUGCUACUUCCCCCCUUACCUGUACCUUCACGUCUUGCAGUUUCUGUUACCCUCAGUCAACUGCAGUGUGAAAAUAUUAUAUACAUAUUUUGAGAGAGCGAAAGAAAGACAUUCCAUCACUUUGACUACAGCAUAUUGUUACAAUUGUUCUAUUUUAUUGUUAUUGUUGUUUAUCUCUUACUGUACCUAACUGAUAAAUCAUAGGUAUGUAUUGGAAAAAUCAUAGCAUGCAUGGAGUUUGGUUCUAUCCUUGGCUUCUGGCAUCCACUGGGGGUCUUGGAAAGUAUCCCCCACAAAUAAGGGGGGAAUUCUGGGUGAUUGCUCAGAGUGAUCAAUCCUGCCGGGGCAGGUAGCUCAGGGGAGCUGAAUUAUCAAGCAGUUACCUAACGAAUGCAGAUGGAAAUGCAGGUGUGUGUUGCUGCUGGAACACAUUUGACACCUCUGCUCUUGACCCCUCUGAUCUGACCACAGCUGUCUGUGCAGGCUCUUCCUUUGCACUCACAGGUUAUGCUCAAGGACAUGCCAGAGUCUUUGCCUACAUGCAGUGGGGUAGCAGGGAUGCCCACAGAGUCCCAUGCACAUGCAGCUCGGAAAGUCCCGGGAAGUUAGCACCCCUUGGCAAUAGGGAACUGGAGCUGAUGGGAAAUUGUGGGAGGCCUUCUGUAUGCCCCUCAAAGGUCCCUGUUGCCACAGAGGCAGCCUGGACCACACGGCCUUAUAUUGGCUUCUCUCUCCCUGCCUCACUCCUCCCACUCCAUCACUCCUAUUCCCAGGUGUCACCUCUCACACAAACCACCUCAAACCAGUCCUUGCCUGAGAUUCUGAUGUCAGGGGAACCUGUGUCUGUUGUAGGAGCCUGGGUCCUAGCUCUGGCUCUGUCAUGCGCACACAGUGUGGCCCUGCACAGGACAUUGCCAUCCCUUAGGUCUUGGUUCUUUUGUCUGCUCCAUGAGUGGGUUGGAUCUUUGUGAACUGUGACCUGUGGCAUGGAUGACUCAGGUAUUAGGGGAAGUCUGGGAUGCUCCCUAUUUGGCCUCACCCUCCCUGCCAGCCUCAGGGCCUCUUCUUCCCCCAGGUUCAGUCCAAGUCCCUUCCUUAUCCUCCAGGUUCCUCCCACCACUUGCCUUCUGUCUGCCCAGAGCAGUGUGUGAUGAUGCAGGGGCUGGUGGCCAGCGUCCGUCCACACACAGUUUCCCACAUGCAUGCUCAUGCCCCGUGCACGUACAAGAGCCAGUGUCUGAAUGUGUGGGGCUCAUGUGUGUGGGUGUGCACGUUAUGCUCAACCUCCAGACUAUGGACUGGCAUGGCCUAGGGGCCCUCAGGCAAUCCAACCACAACUACUAAUAGGCAGAGGGGAUCCAAGGUGCCCUCUGCCUGAGCGAGGGGCCUGCAGGUCACCUUUCUGCACUGCAGGCCUGGCCAGUCAGGUCCAGGGAGAGCAGGUGGGGGGCAUGAGGAGACAGAGAUGCUCUCAAGGGGAUGGACCAAGUAGGAGACAAGGAAGAAAGGACCUCAGUUACUGCUACCAUAUGUGUUCACAGAUGUCAUCUCCUCUUGUCCUCACAACCAAGAGGUAGGGAUUAAGAGCCCACUCGAUAGAUGGGGUAGUGGAGUGUGGAGGGAAAGGGAGUUUAUAUUGAGUUUGAAGUUCAAAUCCUGGAUCCAUUACUCACAGGCUUUGGGAAAAGGCCUUAAUAUCUCCAAGUCUCAGUAUCCUCAUCUGUAAAAUGGGCCAAUGAUUUCUCCUCCUCAGGAGGUGUUGGGGGGGAAAGUGAGCACAAAAUGCUUUUAUAAAGCCCAGCAUUUUCACAGAGAAAGUGGCUCUAAAGGAGGACUAUGAUUAGAGCUAAGAUGACAUGAAAUGGGAGCCAGAGACUAUGGGCCCAGACUCCCACCUUCCCCCGUUACUGUCCCUUUGGUGGCACUGGUCAGUCCCUUGUCCUUGGUGCAAGGUGGAAAGUGAGUUCCUGGGGGCCUCCUCUUCACCCUGCCAUGAGUGCACCCACCACUCAUAAGCAGAACACUGGGAAAGUCAGCUCUGGGUGGGUGCCUGAGCCCCUCC